RNAcentral lists this ribosomal RNA (513 nucleotides) under uncultured bacterium. RNAcentral's name for it is "partial 16S ribosomal RNA". It matches the Rfam family "Bacterial small subunit ribosomal RNA", at positions 28 to 523 of the family's 1533-position model. The record is from RNAcentral.
GAUGAACGCUGGCGGCGUGCCUAAUACAUGCAAGUCGAGCGAACAGAUGAGAAGCUUGCUUCUCUGAUGUUAGCGGCGGACGGGUGAGUAACACGUGGGUAACCUACCUAUAAGACUGGGAUAACUCCGGGAAACCGGGGCUAAUACCGCAUAAUAUCUUCUUCCGCAUGGAAGACGAUUGAAAGACGGCUCUGCUGUCACUUAUAGAUGACCUUGCGGUGCAUUAGUUAGUUGGUGGGGUAAUGGCCUACCAAGACGAUGAUGCAUAGCCGACCUGAGAGGUUGAUCGGCCACAUUGGGACUGAGACACGGCCCAAACUCCUACGGGAGGCAGCAGUAGGGAAUCUUCCGCAAUGGGCGAAAGCCUGACGGAGCAAUGCCGCGUGAGUGAAGAAGGCCUUCGGGUCGUAAAACUCUGUUAUAAGAGAAGAACAAAUUGUAGAGUAACUGCUACAGUCUUGACGGUAUCUUAUCAGAAAGCCACGGCUAACUACGUGCCAGCCGCCGCCGUAA